AACGAACGCUGGCGGCAGGCCUAACACAUGCAAGUCGAGCGAGGACUUCGGUCCUAGCGGCGGACGGGGGAGUAACGCGGGGGAACGUGCCCUUUGCUUCGGAAUAGCUCUGGGAAAGUGGGAGUAAUACCGGAUGAGCCCUUAGGGGGAAAGAUUUAUUGGCGCAGGAUCGGCCCGCGUUGGAUUCGGUAGUUGGUGGGGUAAUGGCCUACCAAGCCGACGAUCCAUAGCUGGUUGGAGAGGAUGCUCAGCCACACUGGGACUGAGACACGGCCCAGACUCCUACGGGAGGGAGCAGUGGGGAAUCUUAGACACUGGGGGAAGCCCUGAUCUAGCCAUGCCGGGUAAGCGAUGCAGGCCUUAGGGUUGUAAAGCUCUUUCAGCUGGGAAGAUAAUGACGGUACCAGCAGAAGAAGCCCCGGCUAACUACGUG
This 433-nucleotide ribosomal RNA is filed under the name uncultured bacterium. Its description in RNAcentral is "partial 16S ribosomal RNA". It matches the Rfam family "Bacterial small subunit ribosomal RNA", at positions 29 to 507 of the family's 1533-position model. The record is from RNAcentral.